This 415-nucleotide ribosomal RNA is filed under the name Spumella sp. 9-13-E2. RNAcentral's name for it is "SSU rRNA". It matches the Rfam family "Eukaryotic small subunit ribosomal RNA", at positions 195 to 624 of the family's 1831-position model. Lineage: Eukaryota; Chrysophyceae; Chromulinales; Chromulinaceae. The record is from RNAcentral.
UGGAGGGUGUAUUUAUUAGANGAAACCAAUGCGAGCACCCGGUUACUGGUGAUCAUAAUAACUUUCGGAUCGGUCUUGGAUCGAUGUUCAUUCAAGUUUCUGCCCUAUCAGCUUUGGAUGGUAGGGUAUUGGCCUACCAUGGCUUUAACGGGUAACGGAGAAUUAGGGUUCGAUUCCGGAGAGGGAGCCUGAGAAAUGGCUACCACAUCCNNGGAAGGCAGCAGGCGCGUAAAUUACCCAAUCCUGACACAGGGAGGUAGUGACAAUAAAUAACAAUGCCGGGCUAUUUAGUCUGGCAAUUGGAAUGAGAACAAUUUAAAUCCCUUAUCGAGGAUCAAUUGGAGGGCAAGUCUGGUGCCAGCAGCCGCGGUAAUUCCAGCUCCAAUAGUAAUACUAAAAGUUGUUGCAGUUAAAA